UAUACCCGCAAUUCCAGAGAUUGCCAGGACAGAUUCUCCUCCACAGAUCCCCUGCAUUGAUCCUGGAUUCAGUCCCAUUUCUAGUGGUAUCGGCCGUCCAGACGUAGAUCCAGAGGGAUCUGUGUUGUUACCUGGGUCAGAGAGUCUUGCGGUCUUCAACGAAGCUCCCAUCGCCUGGCUGUCUGGUAGAGAACCAUUCCUUAGUCCUCGAAGUAGGAUAUCUAAGAGGGAUGAUAUUUCACAGGAGGACUUAAUGAUCAGGGGGCACUGGCUCUGUUGGUGGUCACUGGCACACAGGCCUCAAUCCAGACAAGGUGGAAUCAAAGCUCAUAAAAUGAGCUCCAUAAACUUCACGUGGAAUCAUCUCUGAUGGAUCCACUUCUUCCAUGAUGUUGGAGGAAUCUGAAGACAGUCAAGAAAAAAAAAAAGGGAUAACCUACUUUGGCGGUCUGUGAUAUUGGCGGAGGAGCCGGGAUGCAUCAGGACGAGUGGCGGGAGCGAUUUUGAGGAGCGGUAACAAAAUCUGGCGACAACUCAAGACCACCCAGGAGAGGUAACAAAAUCUGGCUACAACUCAUGCCCACGCUGUCCACACACUGACUUGAGCCAAGGUCAAAGCUUCAUUGUCCGAUGUGGUCUUUCAUCUCUCACUAAUAUGCAGCUGUCCAUCAACAGGCCCAAAGAGUUCAGACAUUACAGGUUACACGUUACAUUUCAUCUUUAAAAAAAAAUUAUUCAACCGAUAGAGAUAUUUAACAACCAAUUUCCUCAUUCUGUCAGCUGUAUUUUUACGACACCCGUUACAUGUCAACAUUUUCUUUUUUUUUUCCUCACGUCUUCAAGAACUACCCAAGAUGACAAUAUCCAGUGUUUAGUCUUAAUUUGUGGUUACAAAGUAAAAAUAAUAUCAGAAAUUGUCAUUGACACCCAAAUGUAUUUCUAUUGGGAAAAGGUUGUAUUAGCAUCCUGCAUACA
Molecule: long non-coding RNA, 975 nt
Organism: Syngnathoides biaculeatus (alligator pipefish)
Lineage: Eukaryota; Metazoa; Chordata; Actinopteri; Syngnathiformes; Syngnathidae
Exons: 6
Source: RefSeq, a predicted model, not a curated record